Molecule: transfer RNA, 72 nt
Organism: Camelus ferus (Wild Bactrian camel)
Lineage: Eukaryota; Metazoa; Chordata; Mammalia; Artiodactyla; Camelidae
Rfam family: tRNA
About the family: Transfer RNA (tRNA) molecules are approximately 80 nucleotides in length. Their secondary structure includes four short double-helical elements and three loops (D, anti-codon, and T loops).
Source: Rfam
GAGGGUAUAGCUCAAGCGUAGAGUGCAUGCUUAGCAUGCACGAGGUCCUGGGUUCAACCCCCAGUACUCCCU